Molecule: ribosomal RNA, 378 nt
Filed under: uncultured bacterium
Lineage: Bacteria
Description: partial 16S ribosomal RNA
Rfam family: Archaeal small subunit ribosomal RNA
Source: RNAcentral
CACCGGCAGCUCUAGUGGUAGCUGUUUUUAUUGGGCCUAAAGCGUUCGUAGCCGGUUUGAUAAGUCACUGGUGAGAUCCUGUAGCUUAACUGUGGGAAUUGCUGGUGAUACUGUUGAACUUGAGGUCGGGAGAGGUUAGCGGUACUCCCAGGGUAGAGGUGAAAUUCUGUAAUCCUGGGAGGACCACCUGUGGCGAAGGCGGCUAACUGGAACGAACCUGACGGUGAGGGACGAAAGCUAGGGGCGCGAACCGGAUUAGAUACCCGGGUAGUCCUAGCCGUAAACGAUGCGGACUUGGUGUUGGGAUGGCUUUGAGCCGCUCCGGUGCCGAAGGGAAGCUGUUAAGUCCGCCGCCUGGGAAGUACGGUCGCAAGACUG